AGAGUUUGAUCCUGGCUCAGAUUGAACGCUGGCGGCAGGCUUAACACAUGCAAGUCGAGCGGAGAGAGGUAGCUUGCUACUGAUCUUAGCGGCGGACGGGUGAGUAAUGCUUAGGAAUCUGCCUAUUAGUGGGGGACAACAUUUCGAAAGGAAUGCUAAUACCGCAUACGUCCUACGGGAGAAAGCAGGGGAUCUUCGGACCUUGCGCUAAUAGAUGAGCCUAAGUCGGAUUAGCUAGUUGGUGGGGUAAAGGCCUACCAAGGCGACGAUCUGUAGCGGGUCUGAGAGGAUGAUCCGCCACACUGGGACUGAGACACGGCCCAGACUCCUACGGGAGGCAGCAGUGGGGAAUAUUGGACAAUGGGCGCAAGCCUGAUCCAGCCAUGCCGCGUGUGUGAAGAAGGCCUUAUGGUUGUAAAGCACUUUAAGCGAGGAGGAGGCUACUUUAGUUAAUACCUAGAGAUAGUGGACGUUACUCGCAGAAUAAGCACCGGCUAACUCUGUGCCAGCAGCCGCGGUAAUACAGAGGGUGCAAGCGUUAAUCGGAUUUACUGGGCGUAAAGCGCGCGUAGGCGGCUAAUUAAGUCAAAUGUGAAAUCCCCGAGCUUAACUUGGGAAUUGCAUUCGAUACUGGUUAGCUAGAGUGUGGGAGAGGAUGGUAGAAUUCCAGGUGUAGCAGUGAAAUGCGUAGAGAUCUGGAGGAAUACCGAUGGCGAAGGCAGCCAUCUGGCCUAACACUGACGCUGAGGUGCGAAAGCAUGGGGAGCAAACAGGAUUAGAUACCCUGGUAGUCC
RNAcentral lists this ribosomal RNA (794 nucleotides) under uncultured bacterium. RNAcentral's name for it is "bacterial SSU rRNA". It matches the Rfam family "Bacterial small subunit ribosomal RNA", at positions 8 to 796 of the family's 1533-position model. The record is from RNAcentral.